RNAcentral lists this ribosomal RNA (469 nucleotides) under Staphylococcus aureus. Its description in RNAcentral is "partial 23S ribosomal RNA". It matches the Rfam family "Bacterial large subunit ribosomal RNA", at positions 1625 to 2093 of the family's 2925-position model. Lineage: Bacteria; Bacillati; Bacillota; Bacilli; Caryophanales; Staphylococcaceae. The record is from RNAcentral.
AGAUAGAAAAUAGGUGCCCGUACCGCAAACCGACACAGGUAGUCAAGAUGAGAAUUCUAAGGUGAGCGAGCGAACUCUCGUUAAGGAACUCGGCAAAAUGACCCCGUAACUUCGGGAGAAGGGGUGCUCUUUAGGGUUAACGCCCAGAAGAGCCGCAGUGAAUAGGCCCAAGCGACUGUUUAUCAAAAACACAGGUCUCUGCUAAACCGUAAGGUGAUGUAUAGGGGCUGACGCCUGCCCGGUGCUGGAAGGUUAAGAGGAGUGGUUAGCUUCUGCGAAGCUACGAAUCGAAGCCCCAGUAAACGGCGGCCGUAACUAUAACGGUCCUAAGGUAGCGAAAUUCCUUGUCGGGUAAGUUCCGACCCGCACGAAAGGCGUAACGAUUUGGGCACUGUCUCAACGAGAGACUCGGUGAAAUCAUAGUACCUGUGAAGAUGCAGGUUACCCGCGACAGGACGGAAAGACCCCG